Long non-coding RNA from Coffea eugenioides, 258 nucleotides. RefSeq lists it as uncharacterized. NCBI's taxonomy places the organism in Eukaryota, Viridiplantae, Streptophyta, Magnoliopsida, Gentianales, Rubiaceae. The record is from RefSeq and is a predicted model, not a curated record. The transcript has 2 exons.
GGAAGUAGCCGUGAACCAGGAAACCAAUUUGAGACUCAAGAGUAGUCAUUUGAAUCUUUGGAGUUGGAGAUUGAAAAGUGAUUGGAUGGAAUUGGAAAGUUGUUUUGGGAAAUUUCAUCACUAUGUGUAUAUAUUGGAGUCACGUUUUCUUUUGUAUUUUAAGAUGGUUGAAUCUUCUGUUUUGAGUUGAUGUAAUAUUAAGAAUGGAUGUUUAGAACGUGUAUUUUGUUUCUUUUAGUGGACAAAUCUAUGUUUCAA